RNAcentral lists this ribosomal RNA (110 nucleotides) under Beta vulgaris subsp. vulgaris (sugar beet). Lineage: Eukaryota; Viridiplantae; Streptophyta; Magnoliopsida; Caryophyllales; Amaranthaceae. The record is from RNAcentral.
GGGUGCGAUCAUACCAGCACUAAUACACCGGAUCCCAUCAGAACUCCGUAGUUAAGCGUGCUUGGGCGAGAGUAGUACUAGGAUGGGUGACCUCCUGUGAAGUCCUCAUC